Molecule: transfer RNA, 69 nt
Filed under: Pangasianodon gigas (Mekong giant catfish)
Lineage: Eukaryota; Metazoa; Chordata; Actinopteri; Siluriformes; Pangasiidae
Also listed under: 1 other name
Description: tRNA-Pro
Source: RNAcentral
CUCAUCAGGUCUAGGGGUAUGAUUCUCACUUCGGGUGUGAGAGGUCCUGGGUUCAAAUCCCGGAUGAGU